RNAcentral lists this ribosomal RNA (253 nucleotides) under uncultured bacterium. RNAcentral describes it as "partial 16S ribosomal RNA". It matches the Rfam family "Bacterial small subunit ribosomal RNA", at positions 524 to 776 of the family's 1533-position model. The record is from RNAcentral.
GACAGAGGGUGCGAACGUUGUUCGGAAUUACUGGGCGUAAAGCGCGUGUAGGCGGCAGCGCAAGUCGGGCGUGAAAUCCCACGGCUCAACCGUGGAAGUGCACUCGAAACUGCGCAGCUAGAGUCCUGGAGAGGAAGGUGGAAUGCUUGGUGUAGAGGUGAAAUUCGUAGAUAUCAAGCGGAACACCGGUGGCGAAGGCGACCUUCUGGACAGUGACUGACGCUGAGGAGCGAAAGCGUGGGGAGCAAACAGG